AAUCUAAAUAGAGGUUGAUUUUAUCAGACUAUAUAUGACAGAUUAAAAAUGAUCGAACUGUUUUAGUCUCGUAUCAUCGGUGAUAUAUAUAUAUUAAUAAUAAGCGUUACUAUUAACAGUAUACUAUUUUCAUUUUAUAUCGACAAAACUAAACCGUUUUUUCUGAUUACUUAAAUACAAUUACAAUGAAAAAAUUACUGUCAAUUUUUAUACUAAUUGCUAUUGUGACUGCAUAUGUUGUGAGUGUCGACAAUAAAAACUGUAUUCCUAGAGGUGAAAAAUGUUACCGACCUAACGAAUGUUGCGAAGGACUGUUUUGUUUAUUUUACGCUAGAAGAUGUGUGCUCGGAAGAAAUAUUCUUGAGAACAGAAGAUUCAUUCGUACAUAGAAUUAUACUUUUAUAAACUCAAGUUUUCAUAUAAAUAAAUAAAUGAAAUUGUAAUUUAAAACGGUUGCUAAGGAAAAAAACGGUCAUGGUAACGGUUACUGUAUGGUACCGGUAACAAUUGUACCGGUUACUAUAUGGUUCCGGUUACUAUGGUGCCGGUUACUAUAUGGUUCCGGUUACUAUGGUGCCGGUUACUAUAUGGUUCCGGUUACUAUGGUGCCGGUUACUAUAUGGUACCGGUAACUAUUGUACCGGUUACUAUAAGGUUCCGGUUACUAUGGUGCCCGUUACUAUAUGGUUCCAGUUACUAUGGUGCCGGUUACUAUAUGGUACCGGUAACUAUUGUACCGGUUACUAUAUGGUUCCGGUUACUAUGGUGCCGGUUACUAUAUGGUUCCGGUUACUAUGGUGCCGGUUACUAUAUGGUACCGGUUACUAUAUGGUUCCGGUUACUAUGGUGCCCGUUACUAUAUGGUUCCAGUUACUAUGGUGCCGGUUACUAUAUGGUACCGGUAACUAUUGUACCGGUUACUAUAUGGUUCCGGUUACUAUGGUGCCGGUUACUAUAUGGUUCCGGUUACUAUGGUGCCGGUUACUAUAUGGUACCGGUUACUAUAUGGUUCCGGUUACUAUGGUGCCCGUUACUAUAUGGUUCCAGUUACUAUGGUGCCGGUUACUAUAUGGUUCCGGUUACUAUGGUGCCGGUUACUAUAUGGUACCGGUAACUAUUGUACCGGUUACUAUAAGGUUCCGGUUACUAUGGUGCCCGUUACUAUAUGGUUCCAGUUACUAUGGUACCGGUUACUAUGGUACCGGUUACUAUAUGGUUUCGGUUGCUAUGGUACCGGUUGCUAUGGUAACUGUUGCUAUUGUAACUGUUGUCAUGGUAACGCUUAUCUUGGAAACGGUUGCUCUGGUUUUUUUUUAUUAUUCAAAUAUAAUACAAAAUUGUAAUCUCCGAAUCUGAAAUAAAUAAAUCAUUUUUUGAA
Molecule: long non-coding RNA, 1378 nt
Organism: Leptopilina boulardi
Lineage: Eukaryota; Metazoa; Arthropoda; Insecta; Hymenoptera; Figitidae
Exons: 3
Source: RefSeq, a predicted model, not a curated record